GAUCAACGAUGAAACAUAGCCAAAUCUGAUCACCAGUUUAACACUGGUGUAUGAUCUGUCUGUGCCGGGGA
Xenopus tropicalis (tropical clawed frog) is the source of this 71-nucleotide small nucleolar RNA. The record is from Ensembl. NCBI's taxonomy places the organism in Eukaryota, Metazoa, Chordata, Amphibia, Anura, Pipidae.